CUUAUGCCACAAAUUCUUUACCACGUGUCAGACUCGUGGCUUUUGCUUACGGCACAAAUCCCUUACCACGAGUCUCGCUCGUGGUUAUAGGCCAAAGGGUUAAAUGUUGGUGAUCAAUUUUGGAUCUCGCACGGAGUAAUCACGUACAUACGACCACACCUUCAGCAACAGUACAGCGUGACAAUUUCUGCUCAUAGAUUGAAGUACGCGCAUUUUUGCAUGCGUCCUGAGUGGCAUGAAGGUUAGGCGGGUUGCAGUGAGCGCAUCGUCACCCGUUCCGUCCUCGACUUGCCCGUCCAGGAAUGUGUAAAUUCGACAAUUACAGUAUCGUGUUGCGAGGUAAUCUAGAAUGGUCAGAACCUGUAUAGAUCCGAUAAAGAUCGGAUUCAGGUUAAAAAUGAAGCUCGGUGCUUCUCGCUCGAGUAUUCAGCCGUGUGGCGUGCUCGCUACCAUAAUUGCUCGUGCUCGCAUGUCACAUUAGAGGACAUAUAAAGGACAUAUGAAUCUAACUCGCAAUAAAAAUUUUGGACCAAAUAUGAGCAUCGCAAUUCUUACUCGUAGAAUCUAAUUCAGUAAUUGAGAUCGGGACAAAAUUGUAUAUAUUAGGUUGUCCGAAAAGUGUCUUUCUUUUACAGACCCGUCUUUUACAACGAUGCAUCUUUAUACAAACAUAAAACCUAAUCUGUUGAACGUUGUGAUUUUUAUUUUAAUAGAAUAAAAUGGAUCGUACGUAAUUCGAUAAAAUAAUAUAAAACGGAAAAUGUUGUGCAUCUAUUAUUUUCUUAUAAAACGAAAGAAACUUUUCGGACGAGCUAAUAUCAAAACAAUGUAAGACUUUUUUCAAUUUAAUUUAUUAAUCUGUAUUCCUCUAUGUACAAGACUGCGCCUGCUAAAUAAUCCUUUCUAUGAUACAAGAUAGAGGUAAUUUAUUGGGUGAAAUCGCAUCUCAUCGUCAAACUCACUCAAUACAUUGCAAUCAAUUUUUUUAACCAUAAUAGAUUAAAAAAAGAGAGACAAAA
This is a long non-coding RNA of Bombus impatiens (common eastern bumble bee), 1019 nucleotides long. RefSeq lists it as uncharacterized. The transcript has 2 exons. The record is from RefSeq and is a predicted model, not a curated record. NCBI's taxonomy places the organism in Eukaryota, Metazoa, Arthropoda, Insecta, Hymenoptera, Apidae.